CCUACGGGUGGCUGCAGUAGGGGAUCUUGCACAAUGGAGGGAACUCUGAUGGAGCGACGCCGCGUGAGUGAAGAAGGUUUUCGGAUUGUAAACCUCUGUCUUCGGUGACGAAACGAGACGAUAGCCGAAGAGGAAGCCACGGCUGACUACGUGCCAGCAGCCGCGGUAAUACGUAGGUGGCAAGCGUUGUCCGGAAUUACUGGGUGUAAAGGGAGCGUAGGCGGGAAAGCAAGUUGAAUGUUUAAGGUACGGGCUCAACCUGUACAAGCGUUCAAAACUGUUUUUCUUGAGUGGAGGAGAGGUAAGUGGAAUUCCUAGUGUAGCGGUGAAAUGCGUAAAUAUUAGGAGGAACACCAGUGGCGAAGGCGGCUUACUGGGUUUUAACUGACGCUGAGGCUCGAAAGCGUGGGUAGCAAACAGGAUUAGAUACCCUUGUAGUC
This 440-nucleotide ribosomal RNA is filed under the name uncultured bacterium. RNAcentral's name for it is "partial 16S ribosomal RNA". It matches the Rfam family "Bacterial small subunit ribosomal RNA", at positions 338 to 795 of the family's 1533-position model. The record is from RNAcentral.